GGGUUGUGAGGUUAAGUGACUAAGCGUACACGGUGGAUGCCUAGGCAGUCAGAGGCGAUGAAGGGCGUGCUAAUCUGCGAUAAGCGUCGGUAAGGUGAUAUGAACCGUAAUAACCGGCGAUACCCGAAUGGGGAAACCCAGUGCAAUUCGUUGCACUAUCAUACGAUGAAUACAUAGUCGUAUGAGGCGAACCGGGGGAACUGAAACAUCUAAGUACCCCGAGGAAAAGAAAUCAACCGAGAUUCCCCCAGUAGCGGCGAGCGAACGGGGAGGAGCCCAGAACCUGAAUCAGUUCUUGUGUUAGUGGAAGCGUCUGGAAAGUCGCACAGUAAAGGGUGAUAGUCCCGUACACUAAAAUGCAUUAACUGUGAGUUCGAUGAGUAGGGCGGGACACGUGACAUCCUGUCUGAAUAUGGGGGGACCAUCCUCCAAGGCUAAAUACUCCUGACUGACCGAUAGUGAACCAGUACCGUGAGGGAAAGGCGAAAAGAACCCCGGCGAGGGGAGUGAAAUAGAACCUGAAACCGUGUACGUACAAGCAGUGGGAGCACCUUCGUGGUGUGACUGCGUACCUUUUGUAUAAUGGGUCAGCGACUUAUAUUUUGUAGCAAGGUUAACCGUAUAGGGGAGCCGUAGGGAAACCGAGUCUUAACUGGGCGACUAGUUGCAAGGUAUAGACCCGAAACCCGGUGAUCUAGCCAUGGGCAGGUUGAAGGUUGGGUAACACUAACUGGAGGACCGAACCGACUAAUGUUGAAAAAUUAGCGGAUGACUUGUGGCUGGGGGUGAAAGGCCAAUCAAACCGGGAGAUAGCUGGUUCUCCCCGAAAGCUAUUUAGGUAGCGCCUCGUGAACUCAUCUUCGGGGGUAGAGCACUGUUUCGGCUAGGGGGCCAUCCCGGCUUACCAAACCGAUGCAAACUCCGAAUACCGAAGAAUGUUAUCACGGGAGACACACGGCGGGUGCUAACGUCCGUCGUGAAGAGGGAAACAACCCAGACCGCCAGCUAAGGUCCCAAAGUCAUGGUUAAGUGGGAAACGAUGUGGGAAGGCAUAGACAGCCAGGAUGUUGGCUUAGAAGCAGCCAUCAUUUAAAGAAAGCGUAAUAGCUCACUGGUCGAGUCGGCCUGCGCGGAAGAUGUAACGGGGCUAAACCAUGCACCGAAGCUGCGGCAGCGACGCUUAGGCGUUGUUGGGUAGGGGAGCGUUCUGUAAGCCGUUGAAGGUGGCCUGUGAGGGUUGCUGGAGGUAUCAGAAGUGCGAAUGCUGACAUAAGUAACGAUAAAGCGGGUGAAAAACCCGCUCGCCGGAAGACCAAGGGUUCCUGUCCAACGUUAAUCGGGGCAGGGUGAGUCGACCCCUAAGGCGAGGCCGAAAGGCGUAGUCGAUGGGAAACAGGUUAAUAUUCCUGUACUCGGUGUUACUGCGAAGGGGGGACGGAGAAGGCUAGGCUAGCCGGGCGACGGUUGUCCCGGUUUAAGCGUGUAGGGGGAGUGACCUGGUAAAUCCGGUUACUUAU
This 1517-nucleotide ribosomal RNA is filed under the name Serratia sp. OS31. Its description in RNAcentral is "partial 23S ribosomal RNA". It matches the Rfam family "Bacterial large subunit ribosomal RNA", at positions 1 to 1553 of the family's 2925-position model. Lineage: Bacteria; Pseudomonadati; Pseudomonadota; Gammaproteobacteria; Enterobacterales; Yersiniaceae. The record is from RNAcentral.